Nycticebus coucang (slow loris) is the source of this 4012-nucleotide long non-coding RNA. RefSeq lists it as uncharacterized. The record is from RefSeq and is a predicted model, not a curated record. Lineage: Eukaryota; Metazoa; Chordata; Mammalia; Primates; Lorisidae. The transcript has 6 exons.
AUUAUAAGAAUCCCCUGCUUCAGAGCUUGGGGCUCCUGGCUUGGAUCCAUUGCAGUGGAGCCCCUGGGAGCCCGGGCUCGAGCUUGUAACAAUAAAGGCUUUUGCUUUUGCAUCAGAAUCAGCUCCCUGGUGGUCUUUGGGGACUUCGUGAUCUGGGCACAACAUUUGGGGGCUCGUCCGGGAUCUCCAAGACUCCCUGAGGACCCCCGACUCGAAGAGCCAUUAAGUGGUUAAAGACAUUGUCUAUCAUCCAUGGACCAGUCACCCUGACCAGGUUCCAUACAUUACUACCUGGAUGGACCUGGUGGAAGAUCCCCUUCCUUGGCUGAAGGUUGAGCCCGUGCCUCCCGGGGAAGUGGCAGUUGGGGAGCCCACUGCUGAAGCCGAGACUGCAGCAAGACCUGCUUCUGGAAGUCUGCCAUACACAAGGCAACAAGCCCAGUGAGAGGCGAAUGCUGACUUGACCAUCCUUCCCUUGAGCUUUUACAGGUACUGUUCACCACAGAAGAAAGAGAAAGAAUUCUGUCUGAAGCCCGAAAAUCAGUCGAGCAAAAUGGGACUAUGACUACUAAUCCUGCUGUGAUCGAUGCCAUUUUUCCCCUUACCUGCCCUGAUUGGGAUUUUCAUACGAGAGAUGGUCAGGUGAGUCUCCAAGCCUACCGCCACUCAUGAGGGGUCUCCAGAAAGUGGCCCACAAGUCAACUAAUUUGGCUAAGGUAGGUAAUGUGCAGCAGGAAAAGAAUGAGUCUCCCGCUGCCUUCCUAGAAAGAAUAUGGAAGCAUUCUUUACUUAUACGCCCAUGGAUCUUGAGGCAGAAGGUAGUAAAACCAUGGUUAUUAUGGCUUUUGUUAACCAUUCUGCCCCUGAUAUAAGAAAGAAACUUCAGAGAGUAGAUAGGCUGGCUGAAAAAUCUUUACAGGAUUUGCUUGCAGUGGCCGAGAAAGUUUAUAAUAAUAGAGAAACACCAGAGGAAAAGCAGACUCAGGCUCGGGCCAAACAAACUCAAGACCUGGCUAAAAUCCUGCUGGCUGCCACUGCUGCAGAGCUAAAGGAUCAGCAGGCUUGACUAAGGCAACUAACAGUUGAAGGUGAGGAGAAACCCUGGGAGGAAGGACAUUGACGCUUACAGAGGGACAAGUGUGCCUACUGCAAGGAGAUGGGGCACUGGGCCAGAGAAUGCCCUAAACGGAGGACCGGCAGGCCCACAUCACAUGGUGAAGCCCAUGUUUUAGAACUGGGGGAAUUGAGUGACUAGAGGGGUCAGGGUUCAGCACCCCUCCCUGAACGCAGGGUAACACUCAAAGUGGAGGGGACACCGAUAGAUUUCCUUGUGGACACUGGUGCACAGCAUUCGGUGCUUCUAAAAGACCCAAGGUAAGCUAGAUACAAGAAAAUCUUGGGUCCAAGGGGCAACAGGGAUGAAACAAUACUCAUGGACUACCUGAACAACUGUAGACCUGGGCACAGGCCGGGUAUCCCAUGCAUUCAUUGUUGCGUGACUGGAGACAUGAACGAACAGCAGCUUUGCCAUGGCUGUAAACUCGCUCCUGUAAUUAUUAUAUCAAGAAACAGACUACAUGAAAUGAGAUGGCGUGUAGCAAAAAUCUUUAUUCUAGGUUUUGACUUUAUACUUUUCCAGUCAUGUACACACUUAAUCUAUUAUCUAUUAGUUUCAUCAUUAUCUUCUUUUACCUAUCUGAAAUUUAACUUGAAAGGAAAUAUUUUGUUAUCAUAUCAAUACAAUCAACUUUUUAGUAAACCUCUUCUUCUAAACAUUGACUAAUUUCUGAGCAGGCAUCUAAAGGAAGAUCACAAAGAAGAAAGUAGCCACAGGGGAACAGAGUAAAUAGGAGAAUAUCUUCAAGCAUUCACUUAGUUUACUCAGUAUGAAGUAAUGACUGUGACCUUCCUUCAGGGCAGAGUACCUAUAGACCUCUGACAAUAUGUUGUUAACAUAUGUCAACCCUCUGGCCCGUAUCUCUGAGGAAGGGUGGCAUGCCCUUUGAUCUCAGGCUUCACGGGGUGUACAGCUUCAGAGAAAAGGCCUAAGGAAUUUUACAACUCCAAGAAAGCCUAAAUCUGCAUGUAACCCAGAGGGGGUCAAAGUCCCUUAAGCCUCUGGAAGAAAAGCAAGUCAUUUUAAACUCACACUGAAUUCACUUUGUGUGCUUGAUUUAGGAUAUGUUUAUUUCUGAAUAUUAUCCUACAUUCAUGGUUAUCCCAGACUGCCCAUAUCCCUUACUUGGAAGAGAUCUAUUAACCAAAAUUGGGGCCCAGAUAUCCUUCAAGCAGGAUGGACCACAGGUCACAGAUGAUCAAGGGCGCCUUAUACAAGUUCUAACUGUUCAGCUAGAGUACACGCUUCACCAACAACCGCCCAAGGCCCACGCUGACAUUAAUGACUGGCUCUACUCCUACCCGUUAGCAUGGGCUGAGACAGGAGGAAUAGGGUUAGCCAUUCAUCGGCCUCCCGUAUUAGUUGAACUUAAGCCCAGAGCAGAGACCAUAAAAGUAAAGCAAUACCCCAUGGCCGUGGAGGCAAAGAAAGGUAUAGGUCCACACAUUAGGCACCUCCUAUGAGCAGAAAUUUUAGUUCCCUGACAAUCGGCAUGGAAUACUUCCCUGUUGCCUAUCAAGAAACCCCUUACAAAUGACUAUCGUCCAGUACAGGAUUUACAGGAGGUGAAUAAGCAGGUGAUGAAUAUCCACCCCAUGGUGCCUAACCCAUAUACACUCCACAGUGCCUUGGCCCCAACUCAAACAUGGUACACAGUAUUAGAUUUAAAGGAUGCCUUCUUCAGUCUGCCUCUAGCUCCACAAAGCCAGGCUAUAUUUCCUUUCGAGUGGAGCGAUCCAGAGGAGGGCAUCAGUGGACAACUGACCUGGACCCGCCUACCACAAGGCUUCAAGAAUUCUCCAACUAUCUUUGAUGAAGCUCUACAUGCAGACUUAGGCUGGAUGAGAUCACAGCUCGCUGCAGCCUUGAACUCCUAUCCUCAGCAAUCCUCCUGCCUUAGCCUCCUGAGAAGUUGGGUCUACAGGUCCCUUCCAGGAAAUUCCAGAGACAGCCAGACUCUGCUUUCAGAGCCUGCCUCCUACAUGGUUAGCUUUCUAAUCACUUUGGAGGGUCUUCAAAAGAACAUCCCUUCAUAUGGACUUUGAGAAAGUUUCUUCAAGUAUAAAUCAAUGGCACUCAAAGUGACAUUGAGGUUACAGAGAAAAGGAAGGAGAGAGUUUUUUUUUUCUUUUUGAGACAGAAUCUUACUCCAUUGCCCAGGCUAAAUUGCUGUGGCAUCAGACUAGCUUAUAGCAACUUCAAACUCCUGGGUUCAAGAGGAAUUUGCCUCAGCAAACUGAAUAGUUUUCCUUGCCUCAGACUCCUGAAUAGCUGGGACUGCAGGCACAUGUCACAAUGCCUGGCUAAUUUUUCUAUUUUUAUAGAGAAGGGGUCUCAUUCUUGUCCAGUGGAUCCUCCUGCUUUGGCCUCACAGAGUGCUAGGAUUACAGGUGUGAGCCACCAUGUCUGGCUCCAAGUUGUAUUUAAAAAUCCUAUCUCUUGGCUGGGCACCUCUAGCACAAUGGUUGUGGCACUGGCCACAUACACCAAGCCUGUUGAGUUCAAACAUGGCCCAGGCCAGCUAAACAACAAUGGCAACCGCAACAAAAAAUAGCUGGGCAUUGUGGCGGGAGCCUGUAGUCCCAGCUACUUGGGAGGCUGAGGCAAGAGAAUCGCUUAAGGCCAAGAGUUGGAGGUUGCUGUGAGCUGUGACACCACACCACUCUACAGAGGGUGACAUAGUGAGACACUGUCUCAAAAAAAAAAAAAAAUAAAAAAUCCUAUCUCCCAAAUUCUUGGAGAGGUGGUGGAUUUGAAAAAUUCCUUCUGUCUCCUGUUUAGCUUUCUAUGAAUUAAACUGUUUCUCUGCUAUAGACCCUGGUGCCUCUGUGUACUGGCUUCCUCUUGAGCAGCAGACAAUGACCCUGCGUGGGCAGCAACGUCCACAAGUGCUUG